RNAcentral lists this microRNA precursor (94 nucleotides) under Eptesicus fuscus (big brown bat). Its description in RNAcentral is "microRNA efu-mir-9266 precursor". Lineage: Eukaryota; Metazoa; Chordata; Mammalia; Chiroptera; Vespertilionidae. The record is from miRBase by way of RNAcentral.
GGUGUCGCGGUGGCUGAGCGCCCUGUUCCGUCACAGGUCGCCUGUUGGCACUGUCUGCGACGGGAAUCUGGGUGCAAAGUCACCCCAGCGUGAC